Molecule: ribosomal RNA, 539 nt
Filed under: uncultured Methylotenera sp.
Lineage: Bacteria; Pseudomonadati; Pseudomonadota; Betaproteobacteria; Nitrosomonadales; Methylophilaceae
Description: bacterial SSU rRNA
Rfam family: Bacterial small subunit ribosomal RNA
Source: RNAcentral
UCUGGUGGCGAGUGGCGAACGGGUGAGUAAUGUAUCGGAACGUAUCCAAUAAUGGGGGAUAACUAGUCGAAAGAUUAGCUAAUACCGCAUACGCCUUACGGGGGAAAGCAGGGGAUCUUCGGACCUUGCGUUAAUGGAGCGGCCGAUAUCUGAUUAGCUAGUUGGUGAGGUAAAGGCUCACCAAGGCGGCGAUCAGUAGCUGGUCUGAGAGGACGACCAGCCACACUGGAACUGAGACACGGUCCAGACUCCUACGGGAGGCAGCAGUGGGGAAUUUUGGACAAUGGGCGCAAGCCUGAUCCAGCCAUUCCGCGUGAGUGAAGAAGGCCUUCGGGUUGUAAAGCUCUUUCGCAAGAGAAGAAAACUUACUUUCUAAUAAAGAGUGAGGCUGACGGUAUCUUGAUAAGAAGCACCGGCUAACUACGUGCCAGCAGCCGCGGUAAUACGUAGGGUGCGAGCGUUAAUCGGAAUUACUGGGCGUAAAGCGUGCGCAGGCUGUUUUGUAAGUCAGAUGUGAAAUCCCUGAGCUCAACUUAGGA